This 776-nucleotide ribosomal RNA is filed under the name Arthrobacter sp. RODV15. RNAcentral's name for it is "bacterial SSU rRNA". It matches the Rfam family "Bacterial small subunit ribosomal RNA", at positions 62 to 845 of the family's 1533-position model. The record is from RNAcentral. Lineage: Bacteria; Bacillati; Actinomycetota; Actinomycetes; Micrococcales; Micrococcaceae.
UCGAACGAUGAACUGGCGCUUGCGUCGGGGAUUAGUGGCGAACGGGUGAGUAACACGUGAGUAACCUGCCCUUAACUCUGGGAUAAGCCUGGGAAACUGGGUCUAAUACUGGAUAUUGACUUUUCCUCGCAUGGGGUUUGGUUGAAAGAUUUUUUGGUUUUGGAUGGACUCGCGGCCUAUCAGCUUGUUGGUAUGGGUAAUGGCCUACCAAGGCGACGACGGGUAGCCGGCCUGAGAGGGUGACCGGCCACACUGGGACUGAGACACGGCCCAGACUCCUACGGGAGGCAGCAGUGGGGAAUAUUGCACAAUGGGCGAAAGCCUGAUGCAGCGACGCCGCGUGAGGGAUGACGGCCUUCGGGUUGUAAACCUCUUUCAGUAGGGAACAAGGCCACACGUUGUGUGGUUGAGGGUACUUGCAGAAGAAGCGCCGGCUAACUACGUGCCAGCAGCCGCGGUAAUACGUAGGGCGCAAGCGUUAUCCGGAAUUAUUGGGCGUAAAGAGCUCGUAGGCGGUUUGUCGCGUCUGCCGUGAAAGUCCGGGGCUCAACUCCGGAUCUGCGGUGGGUACGGGCAGACUAGAGUGAUGUAGGGGAGACUGGAAUUCCUGGUGUAGCGGUGAAAUGCGCAGAUAUCAGGAGGAACACCGAUGGCGAAGGCAGGUCUCUGGGCAUUAACUGACGCUGAGGAGCGAAAGCAUGGGGAGCGAACAGGAUUAGAUACCCUGGUAGUCCAUGCCGUANACGUUGGGCACUAGGUGUGGGGGACAUUCCACG